AACGAACGCUGGCGGCAUGCCUAACACAUGCAAGUCGAACGAGACCUUCGGGUCUAGUGGCGCACGGGUGCGUAACGCGUGGGAACCUGCCCUUAGGUUCGGAAUAACUCCCCGAAAGGGGUGCUAAUACCGGAUAAUGUCUUCGGACCAAAGAUUUAUCGCCUUUGGAUGGGCCCGCGUUGGAUUAGCUAGUUGGUAGGGUAAAAGCCUACCAAGGCGACGAUCCAUAGCUGGUCUGAGAGGAUGAUCAGCCACACUGGGACUGAGACACGGCCCAGACUCGUACGGGAGGCAGCAGUGGGGAAUAUUGGACAAUGGGCGAAAGCGUGAUCCAGCAAUGCCGGGUGAGUGAUGAAGGGCUUAGGGUUGUAAAGCUCUUUUACACGGGAUGAUAAUGACGGUACCGGGAGAAUAAGCUCCGGCUAACUCCGUG
Molecule: ribosomal RNA, 433 nt
Filed under: uncultured bacterium
Lineage: Bacteria
Description: partial 16S ribosomal RNA
Rfam family: Bacterial small subunit ribosomal RNA
Source: RNAcentral